GGGGUGAAAGCGAACAUUUGCACUUAGUUUCGACCUAAGAUUUGGUUUUAAAACCUCACUUCU
RNAcentral lists this transfer RNA (63 nucleotides) under Leptestheria brevirostris. Its description in RNAcentral is "tRNA-Arg". Lineage: Eukaryota; Metazoa; Arthropoda; Branchiopoda; Diplostraca; Leptestheriidae. The record is from RNAcentral.